Malaya genurostris is the source of this 596-nucleotide long non-coding RNA. RefSeq lists it as uncharacterized. The transcript is spliced from 3 exons. The record is from RefSeq and is a predicted model, not a curated record. Lineage: Eukaryota; Metazoa; Arthropoda; Insecta; Diptera; Culicidae.
UAUUGUCACAUAAAGUUACAAUACAGCAGACAAUUUCGUAACACAUCAGUGAUUGAUUUGAAGAAAAAAAAGUAUAUUGUGACAUAUAUUGUGCAAUUUGGAAGGACUUGCAGUGAAAUCGACGUCCUGUAUAAUUUUUAUUAUUCGUUAUCAGUCGCUGUAGAAACAACAUCAAGCGAUUGAUUAAAAACGACGAACAUCAUCCGAUUUCCGGAUUCAAAUCGCUCGAAUCCGAAGGAAAAAAUAACAAUAUAUGGCAGGAAAAACUUCACCGAACAGAGCCUGGGAUCAACAGUUGCAACCAAGCAAUGCUGCUCCGUGUCUACGUUGAUAAUCAAUAUUUCACCAGGCACAUCAUCAUAAUAAAAUUGUAAUAAUUGCAAAAAUAAAAUAGAAUUCAAUGAAACUAUUUUGUUGUUCUUGUUCUAGAAUUCAAAUUCAUAAAACUUUUUAACAUUAGCUCAUGUUUUGCUGAUCUUCAGCAUUGUUGAAUCAACCACUGCCUUUAGUUUCGAAAUAACUAGAAGUGAAAUGUCAAAAAUAUCAUGGCUCUGGUUAUAGCGAAAACCACAAUGUAAAUAAAGAUUCGGUCAUGG